AUGGCCGAGGAUGAGGACAAUGGGCGUUUGUAUACGGGGCUUGACCUUGCUUUUGACAAGGACCAUCGUGCCCGUGCUAUCGAGCGUGGAGAGAAACUUGCUGUCAUCCGCUUUAGGAGCCACACGACGGAAAACCAGAUGCAAUAUGACGUGCGCUACGAGCCGUACUUUGAGCGUGCCGGGCUGCUACCGUUUGUUCUUCAGUUCAAGCGCGUGCCGCCGUCGAUGUGUCAUUCAGCUCUCACCGCCCUCGUCGAUCGUUGGCGGCCGGAGACACACAGUUUCCAUCUCCCUUGUGGCGAGCUAACGAUGACGUUGGAGGACUUUGCCAUGAUCACUGGGCUUCCCAUUGAUGGCAAGGCUCUCACCAGACGAGUGGACGGCAAGAACUGGCGUGCGAGGGUUACCGCUCUCAUCGGUGACUGCUCGGCAUCUCUUAGUGCCCAGGGAAGGACUGACAACAGGACAAACGGCGUCCCAUUCCCUUGGCUCCAGCAUCAUAGGUCGGGAUGCCCUGAAGAAGCCAAUGAGGAGACCGUGGAGCAGUAUGCUCGAGCGUACGUGUGGCACCUCAUAUCACAAGUGGUCUUUGGAGACUGCUCUGGAGACGUUGCUCCUUGGAUGUUUCUUGACUUUUUGGCCGACUGGGACGAGAAGUACAGCUGGGGAUCUGCUGGGCUCGCCUACUUAUACCGUCAGCUCGACCUCACAUGUAGGAAAACCACCUCGAGGCCAUGCAUGGGUGGAUGUAUUUGGGACCUCUCGGUCUGGAUGUGGGAGCGUUUGCCGGUUGGGCGUCCUGAAAAGCAUCCUUCACCGCACGUGUGGGUAGGCCAUAAUGAAGAAGAUGAUGUUUUUCGACUCCCCACCGUGGCAUUCUCUUGGGACCGGGUUUGA
RNAcentral lists this ribosomal RNA (897 nucleotides) under Triticum aestivum (bread wheat). RNAcentral describes it as "partial small subunit ribosomal RNA". Lineage: Eukaryota; Viridiplantae; Streptophyta; Magnoliopsida; Poales; Poaceae. The record is from RNAcentral.